Molecule: long non-coding RNA, 1069 nt
Organism: Chinchilla lanigera (long-tailed chinchilla)
Lineage: Eukaryota; Metazoa; Chordata; Mammalia; Rodentia; Chinchillidae
Exons: 3
Source: RefSeq, a predicted model, not a curated record
AAGACCCUGUCUGUAAAUGAAAAGUAAGAAAGGGUUGGGGAUGUAGUUCAUUGUGAAGGCCCUUGGUUCAAUCCCUACUUCACCUACCCAAAAACUGCCAACAAAAAACCCCCACAUAUUAUUUUGGUUUAGAUAUAACGUGUCCCUGCAGGUUCUCAUGGGUGUGGAUUUGAUUGGAUCAUGCGAGCACUAGUCUCCUCCAUGGGUCCAUUCACUGGUGAGUUCAGUAGCUAAAUGUGCUGUAAAGAGGUGGGCCCUUGGAAGUGGGUCAUGACCUGGAAGUAUAUCCUUACCCCUGCCUCUUUCCUUCUCUCUCUGCUUCCUGGCUGCCAUGAUUUGAGAACCUUUUCCUCUGCUGUGCUCCUUGAGCAUACUGUUCCUGCCUUGGAGCCAACUGGCUCUGGACUGAAACCGUGAACCAAGCUAAAUCUGGACUGAAACCGUGAACCAAGCUAAAUCUCUCCCCCUUUUAAUUAUGUAAAGCAAUGGAGCUCCAUGGACUGGACCCUCUGAGACUGAGCCACAUAAACAUUUUCUCCCUUAAAUUGUUUUUGUCAAGUGUUUUGUCACAGCAAAGGAAAGCUGACUAGCGCAGGGAAAAUGUGGAGGCUUCUUUCUUCAGGAGUAAGCAACAUUAAGAGAUAGCUCUUUAGUUUGAGUAGAUUAAUAUUUAAGGUUUAGGGAACUUCACAGGUUCUAACCAUUCCUACAUCCUUUCCUGGACAAAUUCCCAGUAAGUGCCUUUCUCUGCUAGGUCAGAUGUAAAGAAGGGUAUCACACCAUAUUUCAGCCUCCCCUGAAGUGUUAAUUGGAUAACUGGCUGGCAUUUAGGACAAUCAAGAGACAGACAAGAAGCUGAUAAGCAGUAAACAUCUUAGUCUUGGAUUCUAAAGAAGCUCAGCAUAUUUCCUACCAUGCUGCCAAAGUCUUGUCAAAUACAUGGAGAAUUAUGUCAUCAAUUAUGUCAUUACCAGUCAUCAACAGGAAUAGAACCAGUCCAUAGGCUGAAUGCCGAGAGAAAUUUUGGAGCCCGGUACCCUCGGGUAGAUGUGUGGUGAGGAAGGCUAGC